GACGAACGCUGGCGGCAUGCCUAACACAUGCAAGUCGAACGAGACCUUCGGGUCUAGUGGCGCACGGGUGCGUAACGCGUGGGAAUCUACCCUUGGGUUCGGAAUAACUCAGAGAAAUUUGAGCUAAUACCGGAUGAUGUCGCAAGACCAAAGAUUUAUCGCCCAAAGGAUGAGCCCGCGUAGGAUUAGCUUGUUGGUGAGGUAAAAAGCUCACCAAGGCGACGAUCCUUAGCUGGUCUGAGAGGAUGAUCAGCCACACUGGGACUGAGACACGGCCCAGACUCCUACGGGAGGCAGCAGUGGGGAAGU
This 309-nucleotide ribosomal RNA is filed under the name uncultured bacterium. Its description in RNAcentral is "bacterial SSU rRNA". It matches the Rfam family "Bacterial small subunit ribosomal RNA", at positions 28 to 363 of the family's 1533-position model. The record is from RNAcentral.